GGAGCAGGCCAUACGAUCGUCGGGUCAUUUAAGUGAUCCGGAGGAAAGUCCGAACACCAUAGAGCAGGGUGCUCCAUAACGUGGAGUCGCGGCAACGCGAAGGAAAGUGCAACAGAAAGUAUACCGCCGGCAGGAUUGGGCAGGCUUGAUGCCUGUCUGUUUUGCCGGUAAGGGUGAAACGGUGCGGUAAGAGCGCACCAGUUUUUCGGGUGACCGGAAAAGCUUUGUAAACCCCACCUGGUGCAAGACCAAAUAGGGAAAUGUUUGAGGGCUGCUCGUCCGAGUUUCCGGGUAGGUCGCAAGAGGUAACGGGCAACUGUUACCCAGAGAUGAAUGAUCGUAGUCCGGUUCAGAGUAAUCCGGACCGGAAACAGAAUUCGGCUUACGGACUGCUCCGGCC
RNAcentral lists this RNase P RNA (400 nucleotides) under Desulfobacteraceae bacterium. RNAcentral's name for it is "RNase P RNA component class A". It matches the Rfam family "Bacterial RNase P class A". Rfam says of the family: Ribonuclease P (RNase P) is a ubiquitous endoribonuclease, found in archaea, bacteria and eukarya as well as chloroplasts and mitochondria. The record is from RNAcentral. Lineage: Bacteria; Pseudomonadati; Thermodesulfobacteriota; Desulfobacteria; Desulfobacterales; Desulfobacteraceae.